GAUCCUGGCUCAGGAUGAACGCUAGCGACAGGCCUAACACAUGCAAGUCGAGGGGCAGCAUGGUCUUAGCUUGCUAAGGCCGAUGGCGACCGGCGCACGGGUGAGUAACGCGUAUCCAACCUGCCUUACACUCUUGGACAGCCUUCUGAAAGGGAGAUUAAUACAAGAUGUUAUCAUGAGUAAGCAUUUUCGCAUGAUUAAAGGUUUACCGGUGUAAGAUGGGGAUGCGUUCCA
This 234-nucleotide ribosomal RNA is filed under the name uncultured bacterium. RNAcentral describes it as "partial 16S ribosomal RNA". It matches the Rfam family "Bacterial small subunit ribosomal RNA", at positions 15 to 240 of the family's 1533-position model. The record is from RNAcentral.